AUCAGUUAUCGUUUAUUUGAUAGUACCUUUACCUGGAUAACCGUGGUAAUUCUAGAGCUAAUACAUGCUAAAAACCUCGACUUCGGAAGGGGUGUAUUUAUUAGAUAAAAAACCAAUGCCCUUCGGGGCUCCUUGGUGAAUCAUAAUAACUUAACGAAUCGCAUGGCCUUGCGCCGGCGAUGGUUCAUUCAAAUUUCUGCCCUAUCAACUUUCGAUGGUAAGAUAGAGGCUUACCAUGGUCUUAACGGGUAACGGGGAAUUAGGGUUCUAUUCCGGAGAGGGAGCCUGAGAAACGGCUACCACAUCCAAGGAAGGCAGCAGGCGCGCAAAUUACCCAAUCCCGACACGGGGAGGUAGUGACAAUAAAUACUGAUACGGGGCUCUUUUGGGUCUCGUAAUUGGAAUGAGUACAAUCUAAAUCCCUUAACGAGGAACAAUUGGAGGGCAAGUCUGGUGCCAGCAGCCGCGGUAAUUCCAGCUCCAAUAGCGUAUAUUAAAGUUGUUGCCGUUAAAAAGCUCGUAGUUGAACCUUGGGCCUGGCUGACCUGUCCUCCUAAUCGAGCGCACGGGUUCGGUCGGGCCUUUCCUUCUAGGGAACCCCAUGCCCUUCACUGGGUGUGGUGGGGAACUAGGACUUUUACCUUGAAAAAAUUAGAG
RNAcentral lists this ribosomal RNA (657 nucleotides) under Herpotrichiellaceae sp. A563. Its description in RNAcentral is "SSU rRNA". It matches the Rfam family "Eukaryotic small subunit ribosomal RNA", at positions 105 to 771 of the family's 1831-position model. Lineage: Eukaryota; Fungi; Ascomycota; Eurotiomycetes; Chaetothyriales; Herpotrichiellaceae. The record is from RNAcentral.